This 383-nucleotide ribosomal RNA is filed under the name uncultured eukaryote. RNAcentral's name for it is "partial 18S ribosomal RNA". It matches the Rfam family "Eukaryotic small subunit ribosomal RNA", at positions 592 to 976 of the family's 1831-position model. The record is from RNAcentral.
CAAUAGCGUAUAUUUAAGUUGUUGCAGUUAGAAAGCUCGUAGUUGGAUUUCUGGUGGGAGCGAUCGGUCUGGCGCUUAGCGCGAGUACUUGCAUCGUCUCCGGCCAUCCUUGGGGAGAGUCUGUCUGGCAUUAGGUUGUCGGGCAGAGGAUCCUCAUCGUUUACUGUGAAAAAAUUAGAGUGUUCAAAGCAGGCUUAUGCCGUUGAAUAUAUUAGCAUGGAAUAAUAAGAUAGGACUUUGGUACUAUUUUGUUGGUUUGCGCACCAAAGUAAUGAUUAAUAGGGACAGUUGGGGGUAUUCGUAUUCCGUUGUCAGAGGUGAAAUUCUUGGAUUUACGGAAGACGAACUACUGCGAAAGCAUUUACCAAGGAUGUUUUCAUUAA